RNAcentral lists this ribosomal RNA (408 nucleotides) under Bradyrhizobiaceae bacterium Ellin7144. Its description in RNAcentral is "bacterial SSU rRNA". It matches the Rfam family "Bacterial small subunit ribosomal RNA", at positions 29 to 464 of the family's 1533-position model. Lineage: Bacteria; Pseudomonadati; Pseudomonadota; Alphaproteobacteria; Hyphomicrobiales; Nitrobacteraceae. The record is from RNAcentral.
AGCGAACGCUGGCGGCAGGCCUAAAACAUGCAAGUCGAACGCCGUAGCAAUACGGAGUGGCAGACGGGUGAGUAACACGUGGGAACGUACCCUUUGGUUCGGAACAACACAGGGAAACUUGUGCUAAUACCGGAUAAGCCCUUACGGGGAAAGAUUUAUCGCCGAAGGAUCGGCCCGCGUCUGAUUAGCUAGUUGGUGGGGUAACGGCCCACCAAGGCUACGAUCAGUAGCUGGUCUGAGAGGAUGAUCAGCCACACUGGGACUGAGACACGGCCCAGACUCCUACGGGAGGCAGCAGUUAGGAAUCUUGGACAAUGGGCGCAAGCCUGAUCCAGCCAUGCCGCGUGAGUGAUGAAGGCCUUAGGGUUGUAAAGCUCUUUCAGCGGGGAAGAUAAUGACGGACCCGCA